Molecule: ribosomal RNA, 468 nt
Filed under: uncultured bacterium
Lineage: Bacteria
Description: partial 16S ribosomal RNA
Rfam family: Bacterial small subunit ribosomal RNA
Source: RNAcentral
GACGAACGCUGGCGGCGUGCUUAACACAUGCAAGUCGAACGGAAAGGCCCUGCUUUUGUGGGGUGCUCGAGUGGCGAACGGGUGAGUAACACGUGAGUAACCUGCCCUUGACUUUGGGAUAACUUCAGGAAACUGGGGCUAAUACCGGAUAGGAGCUCCUGCUGCAUGGUGGGGGUUGGAAAGUGUCGGCGGUUGGGGAUGGACUCGCGGCUUAUCAGCUUGUUGGUGGGGUAGUGGCUUACCAAGGCUUUGACGGGUAGCCGGCCUGAGAGGGGGACCGGCGACAUUGGGACUGAGAUACGGCCCAGACUCCUACGGGAGGCAGCAGUGGGGAAUAUUGCACAAUGGGCGGAAGCCUGAGGCAGCAACGCCGCGUGCGGGAUGACGGCCUUCGGGUUGUAAACCGCUUUCGCAUGUGACGAAGCGUGAGUGACGGUAAUGGGUAAAGAAGCACCGGCUAACUACGUG